AAUGCCUUGAAGGCACACAUACUUCUCAUUCCAGAUCUGGUAGUGAUCCCAAAGGUGAGCUCAGUGAGAACAUUCUCUAUGGGAUGUGAUCCUUGAUACUUGUAUCCCUUUGGAAUCAAGCCUAGUGAGCUACUAGGAUCACUGAUGACAUUCUAAUCUAGGGUAGUUGGUGGCUGAUUUCCCCUAUCACUGUGCCUUCAUCUUCAGUUCCCCCUGUUGAGGUGCCUCC
RNAcentral lists this long non-coding RNA (229 nucleotides) under Capsicum annuum. RNAcentral's name for it is "long non-coding RNA (CANN_LNC010140)". Lineage: Eukaryota; Viridiplantae; Streptophyta; Magnoliopsida; Solanales; Solanaceae. The record is from RNAcentral.